RNAcentral lists this ribosomal RNA (501 nucleotides) under uncultured bacterium. RNAcentral's name for it is "partial 16S ribosomal RNA". It matches the Rfam family "Bacterial small subunit ribosomal RNA", at positions 28 to 507 of the family's 1533-position model. The record is from RNAcentral.
GACGAACGCUGGCGGCGUGCCUAAUACAUGCCAGUCGAGCGGACCGGAUUGGGGCUUGCCUUGAUUCGGUCAGCGGCGGACGGGUGAGUAACACGUGGGCAACCUGCCCGCAAGACCGGGAUAACUCCGGGAAACCGGAGCUAAUACCGGAUAACACCGAAGACCGCAUGGUCUUCGGUUGAAAGGCGGCCUUUGGGCUGUCACUUGCGGAUGGGCCCGCGGCGCAUUAGCUAGUUGGUGAGGGAACGGCUCACCAAGGCGACGAUGCGUAGCCGGCCUGGGAGGGUGACCGGCCACACUGGGACUGAGACACGGCCCAGACUCCUACGGGAGGCAGCAGUAGGGAAUCUUCCGCAAUGGGCGAAAGCCUGACGGAGCGACGCCGCGUGAGCGAAGAAGGCCUUCGGGUCGUAAAGCUCUGUUGUGAGGGACGAAGGAGCGUCGUUCGAAGAGGGCGGCGCGGUGACGGUACCUCACGAGAAAGCCCCGGCUAACUACGUG